Nymphaea colorata (pocket water lily) is the source of this 2264-nucleotide long non-coding RNA. RefSeq lists it as uncharacterized. NCBI's taxonomy places the organism in Eukaryota, Viridiplantae, Streptophyta, Magnoliopsida, Nymphaeales, Nymphaeaceae. The transcript is spliced from 4 exons. The record is from RefSeq and is a predicted model, not a curated record.
UCGUAAGGAUAGAAAAAACCCAUAAUCCCAAACCUACACAGGGAAGUCAACUCUGAAAAACAGUAACUUAAUGACUACCGAAAGAUAGAAGUCACGGCGCGUGAGAGAGUGGAAAAGGAGAAAGCUUCGUCUCGCUAAAAGAAGAACUUACAGUCUACAAAUAUGACAAGUUUCAGCGAGAUGGUGCUAACCUCAGAACCUGUUAUAGAGGUGGAAUACAAAAAUUGCCAAGACAUUGAUUUUGCAAAGAAAACAGAGGAACCAUAUGCAACAAGAUCAAAAUCAAACAUAGAAAAAGAUAAAUAACCAAAAUUCAACCGAAUAUAGGCAGACCAUGUGACGACCCUAUUUUUUCAAAAUCCAAAAUCGUUUUGAAUUAAAAAUCAUAGCACAUGGAAAUAAAUUUUCAAAAAAUCAACUUGUAAUACCAUUAGACAUCAUUACCAAUUAACUCCAAACUGCCAACAUUUAAUUAAUAAAUUAAAACAAACCUUCUAAGUAAAUGUUUCAUGAAAGGUAGAGAAUACAAAUGUCUAGGACAUUUAAUAUUGCAAAAUCCAAAUCAUAACAGGGUUCAGUUGGGUAGCAUCAGAUCAUCGUACAGUGCAGUAGCCUUGUCACCAUAUUUUCUAUUCACGAUCUCCUCAAAGGGAAAAUUAGGGAUGAGAACUUGAUGAAGUUGUCAGUACGAUGUCUACAAUUGGUUUAUUCUGACAUACCUUAUCACCACAUGAAAUCAACAGAUUUAAUACAUAUCUUCAAUAUAAAAUAUGCAUAUGGAUGAUGAAAACGUAUAACAGGCAAUUACAACCACAAUACAUGGAUGUCUAUGCACAUGCAUGCAUUAUUUAUUAUCUGUUGGUAUGCUUACAGCCAUAAUGCAAAACUCUUCGCAACCACUAAUCAUGCAUAAAUGUGUAUGCUCAAUCAGAGUAAAUAAAGUAUUAGAAAUGACCAUCAUACGAUUCAUAUACAUUAGUUAGCAAAGCCAUAAUAUCAUAAUAAUAUACAUGUGGAUGCAUAAUUUUAAUCAAGUCUUCUCCAAAUUUAUAUCUGUAUGCAAUUAUUAACAUAAGAUACAUGUAAAACGAGGCAAAACGUGUUUUACAUAAUUUGAAGUUACUCCUUUUAAAAUUUAUUAACAUGUAAAGUUAUUAACAUUGUAAAAUAAAGGGUCGCGAGUCAUUUUUUGCAAUUAUUUUUCAGAAAAUGAGGCGAGUUAAGCACAAACUAAUCACAAAGUGUUUCUGAAGGCGCGGAUUUGAAAAUUUUCGUAUCGAACGUAUAUAAACCCCAUCUCAAGCCCGAUCUGCCAUUUUCACCCACUCUUUCUCUCUCCUCUCGAUUUUUUUUAUCCGACCGAAGUUUCUCACGGCUGUUCCGGCCACCUCCGGCAACCACUGGCAGCUCCAGCCAGCGACGGUGGGACGGCGCCUGCCAAACCCAUGGGUUUUAAGGUUUUGGGUUCGGCGGGAGAAUAAACAGCCAGUGCCUCCCGCCUGCCCUGCCCGGUUUCAGUGGCCAACUCCGGUGAUCGACAAGGCCACCGGCGAAGGCCCAAGAUAGACAUCGGUACCUUUCUUUGCGCGAGCUGGUCCUCAAUGCACGCAACUCAACAAGAAUGACAGAGAAGGAGAAAACAAGAGGAAGGAAAGAGUAGAUACACAGAUAUGAAGGACCAGAGAGGGGGAGAAAGAGUGAGAGAGAUUAGCGUCUUGUCUCCGCAGACAUUUGGCACGUCUUCCUGCUGGCGGUGGCAAGCACGUCAGAAUUAAGGCCCUCCUUGCUGCGCCUACAUGCUAAACCGUGCAAGUCAGAAAUCCUGCAGGUCGACCCUGCUCAGUAAAAGGAAUAAAAGGCCCUCGGGCCUCGGCUGGAUGUUAUAUCGCUAGUCAAAAUCUGACUUUUUAGAAUUGCAGAUUGGAUGCAGGCUUUACUGGUAAUAGUUCUUUAAGUUACGAUGAGAUUGUCUAUGGCUUCAUUGGGGAAUUAAGUGGAGAUCUAGUGAUGGAGGACGAGUUACCAGAUGCACAUACUUUAGCUUUGCUUAAUAUGGUGGUCUUGCAAGGAUGAGAAAAAAGAAUUCCUUUUCUAGAGAAAAGGAUACCUGCCUUUUCCACAAAGGUGACCAACCAUGUCGCUGGGAUAACACAGGAAAGGGAAAAGGUUGAGUAAAUGGAUGUUGGCAUGUCAUUAUCAUCUCCUAGAAAAAACCAGAAUAGUCAUCUUUUGUCUAAACAGUACACUGUGUUUUUGGUAUUAUA